Molecule: ribosomal RNA, 661 nt
Filed under: uncultured Staphylococcus sp.
Lineage: Bacteria; Bacillati; Bacillota; Bacilli; Caryophanales; Staphylococcaceae
Description: bacterial SSU rRNA
Rfam family: Bacterial small subunit ribosomal RNA
Source: RNAcentral
UCGAGCGAACAGACGAGGAGCUUGCUCCUCUGACGUUAGCGGCGGACGGGUGAGUAACACGUGGAUAACCUACCUAUAAGACUGGGAUAACUUCGGGAAACCGGAGCUAAUACCGGAUAAUAUAUUGAACCGCAUGGUUCAAUAGUGAAAGACGGUUUUGCUGUCACUUAUAGAUGGAUCCGCGCCGCAUUAGCUAGUUGGUAGGGUAACGGCUUACCAAGGCGACGAUGCGUAGCCGACCUGAGAGGGUGAUCGGCCACACUGGAACUGAGACACGGUCCAGACUCCUACGGGAGGCAGCAGUAGGGAAUCUUCCGCAAUGGGCGAAAGCCUGACGGAGCAACGCCGCGUGAGUGAUGAAGGUCUUCGGAUCGUAAAACUCUGUUAUUAGGGAAGAACAAAUGUGUAAGUAACUAUGCACGUCUUGACGGUACCUAAUCAGAAAGCCACGGCUAACUACGUGCCAGCAGCCGCGGUAAUACGUAGGUGGCAAGCGUUAUCCGGAAUUAUUGGGCGUAAAGCGCGCGUAGGCGGUUUUUUAAGUCUGAUGUGAAAGCCCACGGCUCAACCGUGGAGGGUCAUUGGAAACUGGAAAACUUGAGUGCAGAAGAGGAAAGUGGAAUUCCAUGUGUAGCGGUGAAAUGCGCAGAGAUAUGGAGGA